AAUGUCGAAUUCACUUCAAUCCAUGUGUGUCGGUAUGGAUUGAGGUGGAACUUAGUUCAAAUUUCACUCCAAUCCAUCUCAAUACAUGUGGAUUGAUGUGAAUCUGACU
Molecule: microRNA precursor, 109 nt
Filed under: Sorghum bicolor (sorghum)
Lineage: Eukaryota; Viridiplantae; Streptophyta; Magnoliopsida; Poales; Poaceae
Description: MIR5565 microRNA precursor family
Rfam family: MIR5565 microRNA precursor family
Source: Rfam by way of RNAcentral